GAAUAUUGGACAAUGGGGGGAACCCUGAUCCAGCCAUGCCGCGUGUGUGAAGAAGGCCUUUUGGUUGUAAGGCACUUUAAGCGAGGAGGAGGCUACUCUCGUUAAUACCUAGAGAUAGUGGACGUUACUCGCCGAAUAAGCACCGGCUAACUCUGUGCCAGCAGCCGCGGUAAUACAGAGGGUGCAAGCGUUAAUCGGAGUUACUGGGCGUAAAGCGCGCGUAGGUGGCCAAUUAAGUCAAAUGUGAAAUCCCCGAGCUUAUCUUGGGAAAUGCAUUCGAUACUGGUUGGCUAGAGUAUGGGAGAGGGUGGUAGAAUUCCAGGUGUAGCGGUGAAAUGCGUAGAGAUCUGGAGGAAUACCGAUGGCGAAGGCAGCCAUCAGGUCUAAUACUGACACUGAGGUGCGAAAGCAUGGGGAGCAAACA
Molecule: ribosomal RNA, 424 nt
Filed under: uncultured bacterium
Lineage: Bacteria
Description: bacterial SSU rRNA
Rfam family: Bacterial small subunit ribosomal RNA
Source: RNAcentral